AUUGAACGCUGGCGGCAGGCCUAACACAUGCAAGUCGAGCGAGUGGCGGGCGGGUGAAAUAUAGCUGAAAAACCGCCUGAUGGAGGGGGAAAGAUAGUGGAAACGGGAUCUAAUACCACCAAAACCGGGAUGCCCCCAGAUGGGAUUAGCUAGUAGGUGGGGUAAAGGCUCACCUCGGCGACGAUCCCUAGCUGGUCUGAGAGGAUGACCAGCCACACUGGAACUGAGACACGGUCCAGACUCCUACGGGAGGCAGCAGUGGGGAAUAUUGCACAAUGGGCGCAAGCCUGAUGCAGCCAUGCCGCGUGUAUGAAGAAGGCCUUCGGGUUGUAAAGUACUUUCAGCGGGGAGGCGUUACCCGCAGAAGAAGCACCGGCUAACUCCGUGCCAGCAGCCGCGGUAAUUC
RNAcentral lists this ribosomal RNA (406 nucleotides) under uncultured bacterium. Its description in RNAcentral is "partial 16S ribosomal RNA". It matches the Rfam family "Bacterial small subunit ribosomal RNA", at positions 29 to 526 of the family's 1533-position model. The record is from RNAcentral.